This 292-nucleotide long non-coding RNA is filed under the name Musa acuminata (dwarf banana). RNAcentral describes it as "long non-coding RNA (MACU_LNC006680)". The record is from RNAcentral. Lineage: Eukaryota; Viridiplantae; Streptophyta; Magnoliopsida; Zingiberales; Musaceae.
GGGUGGAUGCUUGUUGGAGCUUUACCAAGCAUCGUCUCGCAAACUUCUGAAGUUUUGGGUCCUUCCUCCACAAAAUUUGCUCAUUGACUCUUCUUUCACUUAGUUGUCACAUCCAAGUAGGUUCGCAUCACUUCCGCUUUCGAUUGGCAUUUCGUUAGGAAAUGAAGCGGACAAUCUACUCUCAGUAGCACUGAUCACCGUUGGUGAGGAUUUGACAACUAUUGUCUUCCAUUAUCUUCGAAGGGUCUUUGAACUUGUGUAGAGCUCCUAUGCUGGAUAGAUAAGAGAAUUG